Molecule: ribosomal RNA, 674 nt
Filed under: uncultured fungus
Lineage: Eukaryota; Fungi
Description: SSU rRNA
Rfam family: Eukaryotic small subunit ribosomal RNA
Source: RNAcentral
AUCCAAGGAAGGCAGCAGGCGCGCAAAUUACCCAAUCCCAAUACGGGGAGGUAGUGACAAUAAAUACUGAUACGGGGCUCUUUCGGGUCUCGUAAUUGGAAUGAGUACAAUCUAAAUCCCUUAACGAGGAACAAUUGGAGGGCAAGUCUGGUGCCAGCAGCCGCGGUAAUUCCAGCUCCAAUAGCGUAUAUUAAAGUUGUUGCCGUUAAAAAGCUCGUAGUUGAACCUUGGACCUGGCUGAUCUGUCCUCCUAAUCGAGCGCACGGAUUCGGUCGGGUCUUUCCUUCUGGGGAGCCCUAUGCCCUUCACUGGGUGUAGUGGGGAACCAGGACUUUUACCUUGAAAAAAUUAGAGUGUUCAAAGCAGGCCUUUGCUCGAAUACAUUAGCAUGGAAUAAUAGAAUAGGACAUCGGUUCUAUUUUGUUGGUUUCUAGGACCGCUGUAAUGAUUAAUAGGGAUAGUCGGGGGCGUCAGUAUUCAAUUGUCAGAGGUGAAAUUCUUGGAUUUAUUGAAGACUAACUACUGCGAAAGCAUUCGCCAAGGAUGUUUUCAUUAAUCAGUGAACGAAAGUUAGGGGAUCGAAGACGAUCAGAUACCGUCGUAGUCUUAACCAUAAACUAUGCCGACUAGGGAUCGGACGGUGGUUUUUUUAUGCCCCGUUCGGCACCUUACGA